AGUGAACGCUGGCGGUAGGCCUAACACAUGCAAGUCGAACGGCAGCACAGUAAGAGCUUGCUCUUACGGGUGGCGAGUGGCGGACGGGUGAGGUAUACAUCGGAAUCUACUUUUUCGUGGGGGAUCACGUAGGGAAACUUACGCUAAUACCGCAUACGACCUACGGGUGAAAGCAGGGGAUCUUCGGACCUUGCGCGAUUGACUGCGCCGAUGUCGGAUUAGCUAGUUGGCGGUGUAAAGUCACACCAAGGCGACGAUCCGUAGCUGGUCUGAGAGGAUGAUCAGCCACACUGGAACUGAGACACGGCCCAGACUCCUACGGGAGGCAGCAGUGGGGAAUUUUGGACAAUGGGCGCAAGCCUGAUCCAGCCAUGCCGCGUGGGUGAAGAAGGCCUUCGGGUUGUAAAGCCCUUUUGUUCGGAAAGAAAAGGCUCAGGUUAAUACCCCGCUGUUCUGACGGUACCCAAAGAAUAAGCACCGGCUAACUUCGUG
Molecule: ribosomal RNA, 492 nt
Filed under: uncultured bacterium
Lineage: Bacteria
Description: partial 16S ribosomal RNA
Rfam family: Bacterial small subunit ribosomal RNA
Source: RNAcentral